RNAcentral lists this ribosomal RNA (429 nucleotides) under Bacteroidota bacterium. RNAcentral describes it as "Bacteroidetes bacterium partial 16S ribosomal RNA". It matches the Rfam family "Bacterial small subunit ribosomal RNA", at positions 355 to 776 of the family's 1533-position model. Lineage: Bacteria; Pseudomonadati; Bacteroidota. The record is from RNAcentral.
UAGGGAAUCUUCCGCAAUGGACGCAAGUCUGACGGAGCAACGCCGCGUGAGUGAAGAAGGAUUUCGGUUCGUAAAACUCUGUUGUUAGAGAAGAACAGCGCAUAGAGUAACUGUUAUGCGUGUGACGGUAUCUAACCAGAAAGCCACGGCUAACUACGUGCCAGCAGCCGCGGUAAUACGUAGGUGGCAAGCGUUGUCCGGAUUUAUUGGGCGUAAAGCGAGCGCAGGCGGUCAAUUAAGUCUGAUGUGAAAGCCCCCGGCUCAACCGGGGAGGGUCAUUGGAAACUGGUUGACUUGAGUGCAGAAGAGGAGAGUAGAAUUCCAUGUGUAGCGGUGAAAUGCGUAGAUAUAUGGAGGAACACCAGUGGCGAAGGCGACUCUCUGGUCUGUAACUGACGCUGAGGCUCGAAAGCGUGGGUAGCAAACAGG